GUAAUGCGAUAAGUAAUGUGAAUUGUAGAAUUCAGUGAAUCAUCGAAUCUUUGAACGCACCUUGCGCUCCUUGGUAUUCCUUGGAGCAUGCCUGUUUGAGUAUCAUGAAAUCUUCAAAGUAAAUCUUUUGUUAACUCAAUUGGUUUCUACUUUGGUAUUGGAGGUCUUUGCAGCUUCACACCUGCUCCUCUUUGUUCAUUAGCUGGAUCUCAGUGUUAUGCUUGGUUCCACUCGGCGUGAUAAGUUAUCUAUCGCUGAGGACACUGUAAAAGGUGGCCAAGGUAAAUGCAGAUGAACCGCUUCUAAUAGUCCAUUGACUUGGACAAUACUUUUAUGAUCUGAUCUCAAAUCAGGUAGGACUACCCGCUGAACUUAAGC
Molecule: unclassified non-coding RNA, 378 nt
Filed under: plant metagenome
Description: partial contains 5.8S ribosomal RNA, internal transcribed spacer 2, and large subunit ribosomal RNA
Rfam family: 5.8S ribosomal RNA (bases 1-105)
Source: RNAcentral